RNAcentral lists this transfer RNA (74 nucleotides) under Candidatus Nomurabacteria bacterium CG_4_10_14_0_2_um_filter_30_12. RNAcentral's name for it is "tRNA-Gly". It matches the Rfam family "tRNA". Rfam says of the family: Transfer RNA (tRNA) molecules are approximately 80 nucleotides in length. Their secondary structure includes four short double-helical elements and three loops (D, anti-codon, and T loops). The record is from RNAcentral. Lineage: Bacteria; Candidatus Nomuraibacteriota. RNAcentral also lists the same sequence under 1 other name.
GCGAGAUUAGUUUAAUGGUAGAACUACAGAUUUCCAAUCUGUUGGUGGGAGUUCGAUUCUCCCAUCUCGCACAA